GAGUUUGAUCUUGGCUCAGAUUGAACGCUGGUGGCAGGCCUAACACAUGCAAGUCGAGCGGAUGACGAGAGCUUGCUCCUUGAUUCAGCGGCGGACGGGUGAGUAAUGCCUAGGAAUCUGCCUGGUAGUGGGGGACAACGUUUCGAAAGGAACGCUAAUACCGCAUACGUCCUACGGGAGAAAGCAGGGGACCUUCGGGCCUUGCGCUAUCAGAUGAGCCUAGGUCGGAUUAGCUAGUUGGUGGGGUAAUGGCUCACCAAGGCGACGAUCCGUAACUGGUCUGAGAGGAUGAUCAGUCACACUGGAACUGAGACACGGUCCAGACUCCUACGGGAGGCAGCAGUGGGGAAUAUUGGACAAUGGGCGAAAGCCUGAUCCAGCCAUGCCGCGUGUGUGAAGAAGGUCUUCGGAUUGUAAAGCACUUUAAGUUGGGAGGAAGGGCAGUAAGUUAAUACCUUGCUGUUUGACGUUACCGACAGAAUAAGCACCGGCUAACUCUGUGCCAGCCGACC
Molecule: ribosomal RNA, 512 nt
Filed under: bacterium enrichment culture clone ALO1_GLFRUDD03FL6GA
Lineage: Bacteria
Description: bacterial SSU rRNA
Rfam family: Bacterial small subunit ribosomal RNA
Source: RNAcentral